RNAcentral lists this ribosomal RNA (3044 nucleotides) under Patescibacteria group bacterium. Its description in RNAcentral is "23S ribosomal RNA". It matches the Rfam family "Bacterial large subunit ribosomal RNA". The record is from RNAcentral.
GGUCGAAGCACGUAAGGGCAUAUGGUGGAUGGCUUGGUAUGAAGGAGCCGACGAAAGACGUGGCAGCCUGCGAUAAGUCUCGGGGAGGUGGCAAGCAACCUUUGAUCCGGGAAUCUCUGAAUGGGGCAACCCCUAUUGGUGAAGCCAAUAGACCCACGACUGAAUACAUAGGUCGUGUGGAGGGAACGUGGGGAAGUGAAACAUCUCAGUACCCACAGGAAAAGAGAAAAAGAAAACGCAGACUUCUUGUCUCGCGGAAUCAAAUUGGUUCCGGUGAGACAAGAUGUCUGCUCGAUUCCGUUAGUAGCGGCGAGCGAAAGCGGAUCAGUCUAAACUUAUUAUUUCAGUCUCUACACCGAGUUGGACGCAAGUUUGACCGCGGAUGGAGAUGAUGAGCUUGAGCUGUCGAAUAAUAGGUGUUGCGGACGGAAUGCUCGGUCACUCAAGAGACCGGUUUGUGAGUAGAUCAUGAUAGUCGAACCUGCUGGAAAGCGGGGCCAAAGACGGUGAUAGCCCGGUAGAUGAAAUCAUUUAGAUCUCCGCAGAUAUUCCUGAUCCAAAGUACGACGGGGCUCGAGAAACCCCGUCGGAAGCAGCCACGACGAUGUGGCAAGACUAAAUACUCCUUCUGACCGAUAGUGAACAAGUACAGUGAUGGAACGCUGAAAAGCAGCCCGGGAGGGCGAUGAAAUAGUAUCUGAAACCAUAUGCUUACAAGGAGGUGGAGCGGCGCAAGCCGUCACACCGUUCCUAUUGAAGAAUGAGCCAACGAGUGAGUUCCGCGUUGCGCGGUUAAGUUCCUGAGGGAACGAAGCCAUAGUGAAAGCGAGCCUGAAUAGGGCGUUUGUAGCGCGGACUCGACCCGAAACCCGGCGAGCUAGCCAUGACCAGGAUGAAGGUUCAAGAAAUUGAACUGGAGGUCCGAACCCACGAGCCGUGCAACACUCGGGGAUGAGUUGUGGCUAGGGGUGAAAUUCCAAUCGAGCUGGGUGAUAGCUGGUUCUCCCUGAAAUAGAUUUUGGUCUAGCGUUGAUUAAUAGCAUUACGGGGGUAGAGCACUGAAUGGGGACACGGGCGCAAGCUUAGUGUUCCUAACCAAACUCCGAAUACCGUAAUGUGUUCCCAACAGUAAGACGGUGGGGGCUAAGCUCCACACGUCAAAAGGGAAACAGCCCUUGAUCGCAGACUAAGGUCCCUAAUUGUGUACUCAGUGUGAAAGGUGGUCGGACGACUUAUACAACCAGGAGGUUGGCUUAGAAGCAGCCAUCCUUUAAAGAAAGCGUAAUAGCUCACUGGUCAAGUUAUCCGGCGCCGAAAACUUAUCGGGGCUUAAGUACACAACCGAAGUCGCGGAUUGAUGAAUCCUCUGGGAUUCUUUCAGUGGUAAGGGAGCAUUCGCAACUGCGCUGAAGCGAAAGGCGUGAGCCAUCGUGGAGCGUUGCGAAGUGAGAAUGUUGGCAUAAGUAGCAAAAAGACGGGUGAGAAUCCCGUCCACCGUAAACCCAAGGUUUCCAGGGCAACGAAAAUCGCCCCUGGGUUAGCCGGCCCUAAGACGAGGCCGAAAGGCGUAGUCGAUGGACAGCAGGUGAAUAUUCCUGCGCUACCACAGUUUUUCGAUGGAGAGACGCAUUCUUGCAUCUUCAGAGAGUCCCGGAAUGACUCUUUGGGCGCGAAGGGGUGCUCUGUAGGCAAAUCCGCAGAGCAUAAGCCUCGUCGUGAGCGCGAGCCUGACGCAAGUCGGGCAAGUGAAGAGAAUGGGGUGCCGAGAAAAUCUUCUAGAGCUAAGGCUGUGGUAACCGUACCGUAAACCGACACAGGUGGGUGGGCGUAAGUGUGCUCAGGUGUACGAGAGAAACCAUGUUUAGGAACUCGGCAAUACAACGGCCGUAACUUCGGGAUAAGGCCUGGCUGCCGCAAGGCAGCCUUCAACAAAAGACGCUUACCGACUGUUUACCAAAAACACAGCUUCCUGCUAAACCGCAAGGUGAUGUAUAGGAAGUGAUGCCUGGCCAGUGUCAGAACGUUAAGCGGAGAGGUCAUGGACUUCGGUCCGGCAGCCUUGAAGCCAAGCGCUGAUGAACGCCGGCGAUAACUAUAAUCGUCCUAAGGUAGCGAAAUUCCUUGUCGGGUGAGUUCCGACCCGCACGAAUGGCAUAACGAGUGAGCGACUGUCUCAACAUGGUACUCGGUGAAAUUGCAAGUGGGGUGAAGAUGCCCUGUACGCGUAGUCAGACGAAAAGACCCCGUGAAGCUUUACUACAACUUGAUAUUGGGUCGCGUGCUUUCAUGUUCAGCAUAGGUGGGAGCCUUCGGGCGCCAGUGAGAUACCACCCUUGAACUUACGCGAUUCUUGAUCUCUCUCCAUGAAUCUGGAGGGGGAGACAGUAUCUGGUGGGUAGUUUAACUGGGGCGGUUGCCUCCUAAAAUGUAACGGAGGCGUUCACAAAGGUCAGCUAGGUACGGAUGGAAAUCGUACCGGUUCCGCAAUGGGACAAGCUGGCUUAACUGCGAGACCAACAAGUCGAGCAGAUACGAAAGUAGGACAUAGUGAUCCGACCGUACGAUAUCGGACGGCGGAAGCUCAACGGAUAAAAGCUACUCCGGGGAUAACAGGCUGAUCUGGUCCAAGAGUCCACAUCGACGACCAGGUUUGGCACCUCGAUGUCGGCCCAUCGCAUCCUGGGGCUGUAGAAGGUCCCAAGGGUUAGGCUGUUCGCCUAUUAAAGCGGUACGCGAGCUGGGUUCAGAACGUCGUGAGACAGUUCGGUCUCCUGUCUACUACGCGCGUGGAAUAUUGAGGGAGCGAAUCUCUAGUACGAGAGGACCGAGAUUCACGAACCUCUAGUGUACCUGCUGUCCCACCAGGGGCAUCGCAGGGUAGCUACGUUCGGCGCAGAUAAACGCUGAAAGCAUCUAAGCGUGAAGCUGUUCCCAAGAUUAGUAUUCAGCAAGAGCCCUCCGAGACGAGGAGGUUGAUAGGCCAUAGGUGUAAGCCCCGCGAGGGGUUGAGCCGAGUGGUACUAAUAGCUCAUUGCUUCGACCUU